This 216-nucleotide ribosomal RNA is filed under the name Glomeromycotina sp. RNAcentral's name for it is "partial small subunit ribosomal RNA". The stretch from base 40 to 216 matches the Rfam family "Eukaryotic small subunit ribosomal RNA", at positions 686 to 864 of the family's 1831-position model. The record is from RNAcentral. Lineage: Eukaryota; Fungi; Glomeromycota.
GGGUCAGUAGGUUGGUCGUGCCACCGGUACGUACUGGUCUCACUGAUUCCUCCUUCCUGAAGAACCUGAAUGCCAUUAAUUUGGUGUUGCGGGGAAACAGGACUGUUACUUUGAAAAAAUUAGAGUGUUUAAAGCAAGCUAACGCUUGAAUACAUUAGCAUGGAAUAAUGAAAUAGGACGAUCGAUCCUAUUUUGUUGGUUUCUAGGAUUGACGUA